RNAcentral lists this ribosomal RNA (253 nucleotides) under uncultured bacterium. RNAcentral's name for it is "partial 16S ribosomal RNA". It matches the Rfam family "Bacterial small subunit ribosomal RNA", at positions 524 to 776 of the family's 1533-position model. The record is from RNAcentral.
UACGUAGGGUGCGAGCGUUGUCCGGAAUUAUUGGGCGUAAAGGGCUCGUAGGCGGUUUGUCGCGUCGGGAGUGAAAUCAUCUGGCUUAACUGGGUGCUUGCUUUCGAUACGGGCAGACUAGAGGUAUGCAGGGGAGAACGGAAUUCCUGGUGUAGCGGUGAAAUGCGCAGAUAUCGGGAGGAACACCGGUGGCGAAGGCGGUUCUCUGGGCCUGUACUGACGCUGAGGAGCGAAAGCGUGGGGAGCGAACAGG